CCGCUCUCACGACUCCCUCUGAAUCAAAUUCACUCUCAUCUUCGCUCCUCCUCCCUCUCUCUAUUCUUCGCUUCUCAUCUCUUUAAUUUUCACCUUCUUCAUACUCGAAGACUAACAUUUAGUUUAGAUAUAGACAUUUCGACUAUCAAUCGCCAUUUUUCUUGAAUUUCGACUUUUUAUCGCGCCGCCGAAGUAGAUCUUUCCCUUAAUCGGCGUCGAAAGCUACGGGUUUCGAAUUUGGAUAUCCACACCGCAAAUCCGUGCCGACUGGACAUCCUGUUGCAGAUAGAUUACAAUUUCAAUGAAAGAUCAUCGGAAUGAGAGUGCCCACCCUCCUAACGGGGCGGCUGCUGGACCUGGGAAUCCUUACUCGAUUGAUCUCAAGAGCUUUGGCACACGAUUGAAAACCUUGUAUGAACACUGGAAUAAUCACAAAGUUGAUCUCUGGGGCUCUUCCGAUGUUCUCACAAUAGCAACACCCCCUGUUUCAGAGGAUUUAAGGUACUUAAAAUCCUCUGCUUUGAACGUUUGGCUUUUUGGAUACGAGUUCCCGGAGACAAUCAUAGUUUUCUCGAGGAAGCAAAUCCAUUUCUUGUGUAGCCAGAAGAAGGCUUGGCUUCUUGAAGUUGUCAAGAGGCCUGCCAAGGAGGCUGUAGGUGCUACUGUCGUGAUGCACGUGAAGGCUAAAGCAGACGAUGGAACUGGACUGAUGGAUGCGAUUUUCCGUGCUAUCCGUGGACAAUCCAAGGAUGACGGCAACGAUUCUCUUUUUGUUGGGUACAUGGCUCGAGAGACACCUGAAGGAAAUCUUUUGGAGAUAUGGUCUGAUAAACUGAAAAAUGCAGGAUUUCAGCUCGUUGACAUGAUAAAUGGGUUGUCCGAUCUGUUUGCUGUUAAGGACGGUACUGAGAUAUUGAAUGUUAAAAAGGCUGCUUAUCUAACUUAUAACGUAAUGAACAAUGUUGUGGUUCCAACACUUGAGAGCGUCAUUGACGAAGAAAAGAAAGUCACUCAUUCUCACUUAAUGGAUGAGGCAGAGAAAGCCAUACUGGACCCCUCAAAGGCCAAAGUGAAGCUGAGGGCAGAAAAUGUUGAUAUAUGUUACCCGCCAAUAUUUCAGAGUGGAGGGGAAUUUGAUCUCAGGCCUAGUGCUGCCAGCAAUGAUGAGUUGUUAUAUUAUGAUUCCGCCAGUGUGAUAUUAUGUGCAGUUGGUGCCAGAUAUAAGAGUUACUGCUCAAAUAUUGCUAGGACCUAUCUGAUUGACGCCACUUCCCUUCAGAUCAAGGCUUAUGAGGCUCUUCUCAAAGCUCAUGAGGCUGCAAUUAAUGCACUGAAGCCUGGAAAUAAGGUAAGUGCUGCCUAUCAAGCUGCUGUUGCUGUGGUUGAGAAGGACGUACCGAAUUUAUUACCCAAUUUGACUAAAUCUGCUGGAACAGGCAUUGGUCUUGAGUUCCGUGAGUCAGGGCUUAAUAUUAAUGCGAAGAAUGACAGAAUUGUGAAGCCGGAGAUGGUUUUUAAUGUAUCUCUUGGUUUCCAGAACUUACAGAACCUGAGUAAUAAUCGGAAAAGUCCGAAUUUUGCCCUGUUACUGGCAGAUACAGUUAUUGUCGGACAACAAAAUCCAGAGAUUUUGACUUCUAAGUGCUCUAAAGCUGUUAAGGAUGUGGCUUACUCAUUCAAGGAGGAUGACGAAGAAGAAGAAAAGUCAAGAGCGAAAGCUGAGGUCAAAUCAGAGGCUUUCAUGUCCAAGACAACGCUCAGGUCAGAUAAUCAUGAGAUCUCCAAGGAGGAGCUUCGGAGGCAGCACCAGGCAGAGCUUGCACGACAAAAGAAUGAAGAAACUGCUCGGAGACUUGCUGGUGAGAGAAAUGGAGCAGGAGACCAUCGUGCAGCUUCAAAGACCUCUACUGAUUUGGUUGCUUACAAGAAUGUUAAUGAUCUACCCCCUCCUAAAGAUUUUAUGAUUCAGGUCGACCAGAAGAAUGAGUCUGUGCUGUUGCCUAUAUAUGGAAGUAUGGUCCCCUUCCAUGUUGCUACAAUAAGGACAGUUUCUAGCCAACAAGACACCAAUAGGAAUUGCUACAUUCGCAUAAUAUUUAAUGUUCCUGGGACUCCUUUUAAUCCCCAUGACACAAACUCCUUGAAAUUCCAAGGGGCUAUUUAUUUGAAGGAGGUCUCUUUCCGCUCUAAGGACCCAAGACACAUAAGUGAAGUGGUGCAGUCGAUUAAAACACUAAGACGGCAAGUUGUAGCCAGAGAAUCUGAAAGAGCUGAGAGGGCAACCUUGGUUACACAGGAGAAACUUCAGCUUGCAGGGAACAAAUUUAAACCAAUAAGGUUGCCUGACCUUUGGAUUCGUCCCGUUUUUGGAGGUCGUGGAAGAAAGAUUCCAGGAACACUUGAAGCUCAUGUAAAUGGUUUUCGAUUCUCUACUACUAGGCCCGACGAGCGUGUGGAUAUCAUGUUCGCGAAUAUAAAGCACUCAUUUUUCCAGCCAGCGGAGAGAGAAAUGAUAACUCUUCUUCACUUCCACUUGCACAAUCACAUAAUGGUGGGGAACAAAAAAACCAAGGAUGUGCAAGUUUAUGUUGAGGUGAUGGAUGUUGUGCAGACAUUGGGAGGUGGAAAGAGGUCUGCCUAUGACCCAGAUGAAAUUGAAGAAGAACAGCGGGAGAGAGAUAGGAAAAAUAAGGUCAACAUGGAUUUUCAGAGCUUUGUGAAUCGUGUGAAUGAACUUUGGCAGCAGCCCCAAUUUAGUGGUCUAGACCUUGAGUUUGAUCAGCCUUUGAGAGAACUGGGCUUCCAUGGGGUGCCAUACAAGGCCUCGGCUUUCAUAGUCCCAACUUCAAGCUGCUUAGUUGAGUUGAUUGAGACUCCUUUUCUUGUUGUCACCUUGAGUGAAAUUGAGAUUGUGAACCUGGAGAGAGUUGGUCUUGGGCAGAAGAAUUUUGAUAUGACCAUUGUCUUUAAGGACUUCAAGCGUGAUGUACUUAGGAUUGAUUCAAUCCCUUCAACUUCACUUGAUGGCAUUAAAGAAUGGCUUGACACAACUGAUAUCAAGUACUAUGAGAGCAGGUUGAAUCUCAACUGGAGGCAGAUCUUGAAGACAAUCACUGAUGAUCCACAAAGCUUCAUUGAUGAUGGAGGUUGGGAAUUUUUGAACUUGGAAGCUAGUGACUCAGAUUCUGAGAACUCAGAAGAAUCAGACAAGGGUUAUGAGCCAUCAGAUUUGGAAUCUGAAUCUGAAUCUGAUGAUGAUGCUUCCGAUAGUGAAUCAUUAGUAGAAUCUGAGGAUGAAGAGGAGGAUUCAGAAGAAGACUCAGAGGAGGAAAAAGGGAAAACAUGGGAGGAGUUAGAAAGGGAAGCAAGCAAUGCAGACAGAGAGAAAGGUGAUGAAUCAGACAGUGAGGAAGAGAGAAAGAGGAGGAAGCUGAAGGCAUUUGGGAAGUCUCGAGCUGGUCCUAGUAGUAGUCUUCCCAAAAGGUCAAAGUUGAGAUAGAUUCAAUAGGCAGUUAGAGCAUGUAGCUCUUCUAGCAUAACAACUUUUUGGGUAACUCGGCUGUGAAUACUGGUUGAUGGUGGUGGACUCAGGCAUGCUGUGUGUGCGACGAUAGUGGUGGAGUAUGUAGGUUACCUGAGGAAUAUUUGGUAAGACAAAGGUUCGCAACAGCAUGUAUUAAAAGUCAAGGCCAUAGAUUGAAAUGGCACGCCAGUUCCAUUUCCAUUCUCAAGACAUGGGGUAUGAGAAGUUUGGGGAAUAGCAUGUAUUCAACAGCUAUCAUGAAGGUAGUUUGGUUUAGCUUUUUUCUUUCCCUUUCUUUUUGGUUUAAAAUGCGACUGAGGGCGGACUGUAUCACUGUGCCAUGAAUGUUUUAGGAUUUGAGCCACUGGUUAAAGUGGAGGGUGGAUCAAACCCCCACUUCAAGUGCCACUUGGCAUCUCUAGCUAGGUUACAGGUAGAGGUAGAGUAAUAUUUGUUGUCUGUUUUGAGGGUUUAGUAAUUGUACCACAGAACCAUUCCUGUUUCUCCAGCACAUGGUGGCAUUUUGGAAUGACUUCACAAGCUGCAGCAAUUGAAUCUUGAUUUGUAGGCUUGUCGGUUGUGGAAAUAGUUCAUUAUCUGAGUCAGUGCAUGAGUAUCAUUUUGCUUAAAA
Non-coding RNA from Carica papaya (papaya), 4154 nucleotides. The record is from RefSeq and is a predicted model, not a curated record. NCBI's taxonomy places the organism in Eukaryota, Viridiplantae, Streptophyta, Magnoliopsida, Brassicales, Caricaceae.